Long non-coding RNA from Dreissena polymorpha, 645 nucleotides. RefSeq lists it as uncharacterized. The record is from RefSeq and is a predicted model, not a curated record. NCBI's taxonomy places the organism in Eukaryota, Metazoa, Mollusca, Bivalvia, Myida, Dreissenidae. The transcript has 4 exons.
CAAAACUGUUACACGGGAAUAAACAGCAAAAGAAAUACAAUUCCGAAUGACUGUAUAUGAGUGUAUGCUUCCAAUGUUAUUGUCUUUCUGGAUUGCAUUUAUCAUCACAGUAAUGGAUAAAAGCAACGUUUGGAUUAUCAAAAGGCCGUUUUAACAGUCAACACUGAAACCCAACCGGAGCCGCAUUAUGUAAAGCAGGAUGUUGUUCAGGCUGUUUUGACAAUCCAUACCGAGUCCCAGCCAGAAUUCGUACACCAUACCCAACUGGUCUUCCUUAAUUGAAAGAGGAGGUGGACCAAAACCUGCACAACUAUCAAUUUUUACUGAAGCAGUAGUUGAUAUUUGGGGGAAGAAAAUCCCAAACAUUAUCAGGAAUUGCCCUGUCUGAAGACAUGGAUUCAUCCAUUCUCUUGUUAAAACAACAAAGAGUGUGUGCAGUCCUCAGCAACCGGGAAAAGAGUGCAGUCCUCAGCCACCGGGAAAAGAGAGUCUGGGAGAUUCACCAGGAGGGAGUGAAAGGUAUUGCCAUCCUAAAAUGAUGGAAACAUGUGUAAAUUCAAUUUAUUUUCUAGAAUUAUGCCUUAAACCAUUACCUAACAAUAUCAAGAUUUUAAAAGUUCUUGCAAAACUCUAGACAUAAUUGUU